Molecule: ribosomal RNA, 254 nt
Filed under: uncultured bacterium
Lineage: Bacteria
Description: partial 16S ribosomal RNA
Rfam family: Bacterial small subunit ribosomal RNA
Source: RNAcentral
UACGUAGGGGGCUAGCGUUGUCCGGAUUUAUUGGGCGUAAAGAGCGUGUAGGCGGCCAGGUAGGUCUGGUGUGAAAACUCGAGGCUUAACCCCGAAACGGCACUCGAAACUGCCCGGCUGGAGGGCCGGAGAGGAGAUCGGAAUUCACGGUGUAGCAGUGAAAUGCGUAGAGAUCGUGAGGAAGACCCGUGGCGAAGGCGGAUCUCUGGACGGCUAACUGACGCUGAGGCGCGAAGGCCAGGGGAGCAAACGGG